RNAcentral lists this ribosomal RNA (249 nucleotides) under Glomeraceae sp. RNAcentral describes it as "partial large subunit ribosomal RNA". Lineage: Eukaryota; Fungi; Glomeromycota; Glomeromycetes; Glomerales; Glomeraceae. The record is from RNAcentral.
GUGAAAUUGUUGAAAGGGAAACGAUUGAAGCCAGUCGUACUGACGGGUAAUCAACCUUUAGGGUGCGAUUCUGUGGGUUUUGAGGAGCUUCACGGCCCUCAUGGUCUGCAUAUUUGUGCCAUUUGGGUGUACUUACCUUGGCAGUAGGUUAACAUCAAUUUUGAUCGUCAUAAAAUGAUGGGAGGAAUGUAGCUUCGCCCUCGGUUGAAGUGUUAUAGCCUCUGGUAGAUGUGAUGAUCGGGAUUGAGG